RNAcentral lists this ribosomal RNA (478 nucleotides) under uncultured bacterium. RNAcentral's name for it is "partial 16S ribosomal RNA". It matches the Rfam family "Bacterial small subunit ribosomal RNA", at positions 28 to 507 of the family's 1533-position model. The record is from RNAcentral.
GAUGAACGCUGGCGGCGUGCUUAACACAUGCAAGUCGAACGAGAAGUGAAGACGGAAACCUUCGGGCGGAAGGCUUUAUUUCGAGUGGCGGACGGGUGAGUAACGCGUGGGUAACCUGCCUCAUACAGGGGGAUAACAGUUGGAAACGACUGUUAAUACCGCAUAAGACCACAGCACCGCAUGGUGCGGGGGUAAAAACUCCGGUGGUAUGAGAUGGACCCGCGUUCGAUUAGCCAGUUGGCGGGGUAACGGCCCACCAAAGCGACGAUCGAUAGCCGAUCUGAGAGGAUGACCGGCCACAUUGGGACUGAGACACGGCCCAAACUCCUACGGGAGGCAGCAGUGGGGAAUAUUGUACAAUGGGGGAAACCCUGAUGCAGCGACGCCGCGUGAGUGAAGAAGUAUUUCGGUAUGUAAAGCUCUAUCAGCAGGGAAGAAAAUGACGGUACCUGAGUAAGAAGCCCCGGCUAACUACGUG